RNAcentral lists this ribosomal RNA (602 nucleotides) under Pantoea vagans. RNAcentral describes it as "bacterial SSU rRNA". It matches the Rfam family "Bacterial small subunit ribosomal RNA", at positions 1 to 590 of the family's 1533-position model. Lineage: Bacteria; Pseudomonadati; Pseudomonadota; Gammaproteobacteria; Enterobacterales; Erwiniaceae. The record is from RNAcentral.
ACUUAAAUUGAAGAGUUUGAUCAUGGCUCAGAUUGAACGCUGGCGGCAGGCCUAACACAUGCAAGUCGGACGGUAGCACAGAGAGCUUGCUCUUGGGUGACGAGUGGCGGACGGGUGAGUAAUGUCUGGGGAUCUGCCCGAUAGAGGGGGAUAACCACUGGAAACGGUGGCUAAUACCGCAUAACGUCGCAAGACCAAAGAGGGGGACCUUCGGGCCUCUCACUAUCGGAUGAACCCAGAUGGGAUUAGCUAGUAGGCGGGGUAAUGGCCCACCUAGGCGACGAUCCCUAGCUGGUCUGAGAGGAUGACCAGCCACACUGGAACUGAGACACGGUCCAGACUCCUACGGGAGGCAGCAGUGGGGAAUAUUGCACAAUGGGCGCAAGCCUGAUGCAGCCAUGCCGCGUGUAUGAAGAAGGCCUUCGGGUUGUAAAGUACUUUCAGCGGGGAGGAAGGCGACGGGGUUAAUAACCCUGUCGAUUGACGUUACCCGCAGAAGAAGCACCGGCUAACUCCGUGCCAGCAGCCGCGGUAAUACGGAGGGUGCAAGCGUUAAUCGGAAUUACUGGGCGUAAAGCGCACGCAGGCGGUCUGUUAAGUCA